GGGUGUUGCGGCAGGCCUAACACAUGCAAGUCGAGCGGUAGAGAGAAGCUUGCUUCUCUUGAGAGCGGCGGACGGGUGAGUAAUGCCUAGGAAUCUGCCUGGUAGUGGGGGAUAACGCUCGGAAACGGACGCUAAUACCGCAUACGUCCUACGGGAGAAAGCAGGGGACCUUCGGGCCUUGCGCUAUCAGAUGAGCCUAGGUCGGAUUAGCUAGUUGGUGAGGUAAUGGCUCACCAAGGCGACGAUCCGUAACUGGUCUGAGAGGAUGAUCAGUCACACUGGAACUGAGACACGGUCCAGACUCCUACGGGAGGCAGCAGUGGGGAAUAUUGGACAAUGGGCGAAAGCCUGAUCCAGCCAUGCCGCGUGUGUGAAGAAGGUCUUCGGAUUGUAAAGCACUUUAAGUUGGGAGGAAGGGCAUUAACCUAAUACGUUGGUGUCUUGACGUUACCGACAGAAUAAGCACCGGCUAACUCUGUGCCAGCAGCCGCGGUAAUACAGAGGGUGCAAGCGUUAAUCGGAAUUACUGGGCGUAAAGCGCGCGUAGGUGGUUCGUUAAGUUGGAUGUGAAAUCCCCGGGCUCAACCUGGGAACUGCAUU
Molecule: ribosomal RNA, 600 nt
Filed under: Pseudomonas sp. LR13
Lineage: Bacteria; Pseudomonadati; Pseudomonadota; Gammaproteobacteria; Pseudomonadales; Pseudomonadaceae
Description: bacterial SSU rRNA
Rfam family: Bacterial small subunit ribosomal RNA
Source: RNAcentral